This 72-nucleotide transfer RNA is filed under the name Lichtheimia ramosa. RNAcentral describes it as "tRNA-Pro (AGG) (tRNA-Pro-AGG-1 1 to 3)". It matches the Rfam family "tRNA". Rfam says of the family: Transfer RNA (tRNA) molecules are approximately 80 nucleotides in length. Their secondary structure includes four short double-helical elements and three loops (D, anti-codon, and T loops). The record is from RNAcentral. RNAcentral also lists the same sequence under 1 other name. Lineage: Eukaryota; Fungi; Mucoromycota; Mucoromycetes; Mucorales; Lichtheimiaceae.
GGGCUGAUGGUCUAGUGGUAUGAUUCUCGCUUAGGGUGCGAGAGGUCCCGGGUUCAAUUCCCGGUUAGCCCC